RNAcentral lists this ribosomal RNA (416 nucleotides) under Listeria monocytogenes. RNAcentral describes it as "partial 23S ribosomal RNA". It matches the Rfam family "Bacterial large subunit ribosomal RNA", at positions 150 to 561 of the family's 2925-position model. The record is from RNAcentral. Lineage: Bacteria; Bacillati; Bacillota; Bacilli; Caryophanales; Listeriaceae.
UCCUUACGUGAAUACAUAGCGUGAGGAAGGCAGACCCAGGGAACUGAAACAUCUAAGUACCUGGAGGAAGAGAAAGAAAAAUCGAUUUCCUGAGUAGCGGCGAGCGAAACGGAAAGAGCCCAAACCAAGAAGCUUGCUUCUUGGGGUUGUAGGACACUCUAUACGGAGUUACAAAAGAAAGUUAUAAAUGAAGCGGUCUGGAAAGGCCCGCCAAAGACGGUAACAGCCCGGUAGUUGAAAUGGCUUUCCCUCCAGAGUGGAUCCUGAGUACGGCGGAACACGUGAAAUUCCGUCGGAAUCCGGGAGGACCAUCUCCCAAGGCUAAAUACUCCCUAGUGACCGAUAGUGAACCAGUACCGUGAGGGAAAGGUGAAAAGCACCCCGGAAGGGGAGUGAAACAGUUCCUGAAACCGUGU